Molecule: non-coding RNA, 1860 nt
Organism: Danio rerio (zebrafish)
Lineage: Eukaryota; Metazoa; Chordata; Actinopteri; Cypriniformes; Danionidae
Source: RefSeq, a predicted model, not a curated record
AAAGGGGGACUUAACAAGACAAAGAUAACUGAGUUCAGAGAAACAGCUACACUGGAAACACUGCGCUGGUGUAACGUUAUAUCAGAAGAGAGACUCUAAAAGCACAGCUGAACGUGGGAUUCUGCUUCUGGUAAGACAAUUCACUUAAUUCUCUGAAACUGAAAUAUCGACUGUCGGAGCCAUGAAUCCUUCAAAGAUUGUCAUCCAGCUUCAACCACAAACACAAACAGCAACUGUGACUGGGACCAGUUUUUCUGAGCCUGUUUACAUGCAGCAUGAAGCAGGAGUUUCAAUUCAGGCCUUUCUGAAAGGCCAACCAAAAGCCCUUGGGACUGUCCAGAUAAUAAUUGGUCUGUUGAUUCUCCUGUUGGAAAUUGUGUUCACAGUUUUUACACACUCCACCUUUGCCUUCAGCGGCGUUCCUUAUGUGGGAUCUCUGAUAUACAUUACUGCAGGCUCGCUCUCCAUUGCUGCUGAAAACAAAAUUGAUUCACCAGCCGGUUUAUGUUUGGUGAGAGCUUCCCUCGGGAUGAACAUUUUCAGUGCCAUAGCAACGGGCAUUGCCAUUAUUAUGCUUUCACUGGGUUUGACUAUUGGACCCUACACUUACUGCAGACUCUACAAUUAUUGUGAGGAUUAUUUUAAUCUCUUGAGUGGUUUUUUGCUGCUGUUCUCCAUCCUUGAGCUCUUCAUCUCCAUCUGGCUGUCUGCAUUUGGCUGUAAAGUCACCUGCUGCAAUUUUCCUUAGAUUCCUGUGGACAACAACCCUUUAAUUCAACACCCUCCUGCAGAAAUCCCCCAAACGUACAUUCAAUGUCCUCAAGAAGUCCCAGAACCAUGCUUUCAACAUCCUCCUGCAGGAUCUCCCCCAGCGUACACUGAAGGCGAAUAAAUGUGAAUUGUUACGUGUUUUAUGAUGUAAAGUGGGAUGCUGUAACAUUUAAGUGAGACAGGUGUAAUGUGUGCGACAGAUCAAUAAUGAGGCCAGGUUCAGUUACUCUCAUUUAAAGCUUUUACUCAAUAAUUGAAUUGAAACAUGUAACAAUAAUAAAUGGGGGAGAAAAAACAAACAAACAUUUAUAAUUAUUAUCUUUAAACAAGAACAACGAGUGUAAGCCAAAUCAAAGAAAUUAACAAAACAAUCCUUAAAUCUAAUGUCUAAACUAGGCGUCAAAAAGAAACACAAUUAAAAACUAAGAUCUUCAGUGUGUACGACACCCGAACUAAACUAAUCAAACUACAAAACUCAAAAAUACACGGGUGGCAAAACACUCAAACUAAUCUAACAAAACAUCAAUCUAAACUAAAACAAAACAAACCGGAUAAGUUUGUUAAAUCUUAGUUUAGAAUCACACAAUCAUCUCCAUAUGUUACUUAAAGCCAACAAAGUUCAACAAGCAACUCGAAUUAUCACAGUAACUGAGAGAUCACAAAAUAGACGAAGCAUUUGCACAAACAAAUUGCGUGGAGCACAAAGGGUACGCCGAGGCAGGGCGCACACCACACACUGGACUGACAGGGCUUUAAAUACUUGCGGCUCGUCCUGGGAUUGGUGGAACCGGAGAGCGUCAUAAUGAUGAUGGACAGAAUAAUAAACCAAUAAGAAACCUAGGGUUGAGCAAACGGAGAGGAGGGUGAAAAAAAAAACAGGAAAAAAAACAUAAAUCAUAACAGAAUCAACAUGAAAAAACUGGGCAGAGCGGUGGAUCUGCUGCUGCAUCAUCAGAUUACGUGUAAAAUGAUUAUUAUAGUCCUCUCUAUAGAUUUCACGGUGUAUUUGAUAUGCUCUACGUCUGUACUUUCAUGUUUUGCUAUGACCUAUGUGUAUUUCAAUAAAAGUCAUGUCUUUGUUUAUACUGA